This 301-nucleotide ribosomal RNA is filed under the name uncultured bacterium. Its description in RNAcentral is "partial 16S ribosomal RNA". It matches the Rfam family "Bacterial small subunit ribosomal RNA", at positions 509 to 807 of the family's 1533-position model. The record is from RNAcentral.
CAGCAGCCACGGUAAAACGAAGGGAGCUAGCGUUGCUCGGAAUGACUGGGCGUAAAGGGCGCGUAGGCGGUUUUGACAGUCAGAUGUGAAAUUCCUGGGCUUAACCUGGGGGCUGCAUUUGAGACGUCAAGACUAGAGUGUGAGAGAGGGUUGUGGAAUUCCCAGUGUAGAGGUGAAAUUCGUAGAUAUUGGGAAGAACACCGGUGGCGAAGGCGGCAACCUGGCUCAUUACUGACGCUGAGGCGCGAAAGCGUGGGGAGCAAACAGGAUUAGAUACCCGCGUAGUCCCUGUCUCUUAUAC